Small nucleolar RNA from Symphalangus syndactylus (siamang), 103 nucleotides. RefSeq annotates it as small nucleolar RNA U13. Lineage: Eukaryota; Metazoa; Chordata; Mammalia; Primates; Hylobatidae. The record is from RefSeq and is a predicted model, not a curated record.
AUCCUUUUGUGUAUCAUAAGCACAAUGAUUGGUUUUUCACACUAAUGUGUGAAAUGUGCCUCCUUCAAGCCUUAUUACAGCAUUGGCAUAUUACCCGUUGAAG